Molecule: long non-coding RNA, 390 nt
Organism: Lucilia sericata (common green bottle fly)
Lineage: Eukaryota; Metazoa; Arthropoda; Insecta; Diptera; Calliphoridae
Exons: 3
Source: RefSeq, a predicted model, not a curated record
CUCAAAAUGGUUAAAUAACUUUAAAGCCAUCAUUAUAUUUCCAUUCCUACAGUUUCACACUACUUCUUAGCUAACUACUGCAAAUGGGAACAAUUACAUAUUUUUUGCUUUUUCUCACAAUAACAAUUUGUGCCGUAAACUCAUACUAUUUGGAUAGUAAUGGUCAACCAGUUGUGAAACGGUUAUGUGUAAGGCCAAUGAAAGAUGCACUUAUCAUCCAGUAUUAAAGCGAGAAAGAUGUGUAAUGAAAAAUAAUAAGGGGCCAUUAACUUUAAGUGAAAUUGAAAUGUUGAUUGUGUGAAUUGAAUUAUAUACAUAAUAAGAAUGUUUUAUUAUUAACAAAUAUUAAAAUAAUUGCAUUUGCAGCAACUUCGAUUGUGGCAACUAAAA